This 886-nucleotide ribosomal RNA is filed under the name uncultured Candidatus Saccharibacteria bacterium. RNAcentral describes it as "bacterial SSU rRNA". It matches the Rfam family "Bacterial small subunit ribosomal RNA", at positions 571 to 1482 of the family's 1533-position model. The record is from RNAcentral. Lineage: Bacteria; Candidatus Saccharimonadota.
GUAGGCGGUCAAGUAAGCAAAGUGUGAAAGGAUGUGGCUCAACCACAUGUCCAUGCUUUGUACUGCUUUGACUAGAGAAUGGAAGAGGUUGCUAGAAUUCCUGGUGUAGGGGUGAAAUCCGUAGAUAUCAGGAGGAAUACCAAUGGCGUAGGCAGGCAACUGGUCCAUUUCUGACGCUCAGGCACGAAAGCGUGGGUAGCGAUCGGGAUUAGAUACCCCGGUAGUCCACGCCGUAAACGAUGGAUGCUAGCUGUAGAGGGUAUCGACCCCCCCUGUAGCAAAGCUAACGCGUUAAGCAUCCCGCCUGUGGAGUACGAGCGCAAGCUUAAAACAUAAAGGAAUUGACGGGGACCCGCACAAGCGGUGGAGCGUGUUGUUUAAUUCGAUGCAAAGCGAAGAACCUUACCCAGGUUUGACAUCCUGCGAAGGUCUGCGAAAGCAGACUGUGCCUUUUGGAAUGCAGUGACAGGUGAUGCAUGGCCGUCGUCAGCUCGUGUCGUGAGAUGUUUGGUUAAGUCCAUCAACGAGCGCAACCCCUAUAGUUAGUUGGAUUUUUCUAGCUAGACUGCCCUGGUAACGGGGAGGAAGGAGGGGACGAUGUCAGGUCAGUAUUUCCCUUACAUCUGGGGCUACAAACACGCUACAAUGGCCGGUACAAAGGGCAGCUAAGUCGCGAGACGGAGCAAAUCCCAUCAAAGCCGGUCUCAGUUCGGAUUGCAGGCUGAAACUCGCCUGCAUGAAGUCGGAAUCGCUAGUAACGGUAGGUCAGCACACUACCGUGAAUACGUUCCCGGGUCUUGUACACACCGCCCGUCAAGCCACGAAAGUCGUCAAUACCUGACGUGCCAGCUAGUCUGGUCCUAAGGUAGGGGUGAUGAUUGGGGUU